Tigriopus californicus is the source of this 1598-nucleotide long non-coding RNA. RefSeq lists it as uncharacterized. The transcript has 2 exons. Lineage: Eukaryota; Metazoa; Arthropoda; Copepoda; Harpacticoida; Harpacticidae. The record is from RefSeq and is a predicted model, not a curated record.
UGCAACACAUUCACUCCAAAAUGGGUCUGCCUGACUUGCUUGCAUUGCACUCUCUAGGCAGGCCUCGCCACGCACAUAUACCUAUUUUCAGAAUCUUUAUCUAGGCCUUGCUUCCUCUAUGGUUUGACCACUGAAUGAGUGUUAGGGUAUGUUUUCUAAUUGUAGAGGCGUUGCCUUCGAUUGGUUGGAGUAGCACUGGUUCAAGGUUAACGGUAACAAGCCACUGAUGGGAAAAAUAAAUAAUCACGGGAGGUUGCUACUAGGGCCGUCAACUUACAUUUUCAGUGGCAUAGGACAUCACUAGCGGAACAUCGGAAAUUGGUUAGUUAGUCACAAAAAGUAACCUUGAUUAUUCUUCGAUCAAACCAGGUUUACGUUUUUGGUCAAAGCUAACCUUUUACCUUACGAUGGGGGGAUUGGUUGACAAUAGGGUGGUGCAAGGAAUACAUCUUGAUUAUACCGCCGCCCUGACAUUUGAUUAGGUGAAGGUCUCCAAGGGCUAUUCAAACCUCACGACACCAGUGCUUGUCCAAGACUUAUCCAUGUGGAUCACAUCCGUCUGCCGCAUCACGGGUCGUCUGUUGGCUCACGGGCCGUCCGCACCCAAACACGUGUCCUCCAGCGAAUUUGGUCCACGCACUGCAUCCACAGACCUACAAUGCGACCACGGACCUUUGCUGCCAACACAGACCUUCGCUGCGACCACGGACCUUCGUUGCGACCACAGAUCUUGGCUGCAUCCCUGGAUGUUCAUGACCUGCCGAGGCCGGGGUGGGAGGUAGGAUCUCCUGCCGAAAUGACGACUUCCACCCACUGGGCCAUGUUACAUUGCCAUGUGGACGGCCUAUGAAUGAUAUUUGUUGCUGAGAGAUGGAGGUGCUGGUUUUAUUCAGUGGUGUGAGCACAUAUGUUCUUGGAAUGGUCAACAUGUGCUCGGGCCCCUCCGAUGCAAGUCCGGAUGCCGACCCUUGAAAGGCCAAGAAAAGUCCCACCAAUCCCCUUGAGCCGGGUGGAGAACCACCGCCAGACAUAGUUCUCAUGAGCAAGAUCCCUAAAGAACCGCUCAUGUUUCGAAAUGGGUGAAAGCGAUUCCCCGUUGCAAUUAUAACUCGUUGAACCACCCAUGCCCCCCUCUGUUCCAGGAAUUUUUCAAUCAUGAUUCGAAAUUGAAUGCACGGGAAACAUUCUCACACGAGAGCAAUGACCAAAGGAAAGGCAAGAAGGUAUUAGGGCCUCUGCUGGUUCCCAUUCUACCACGCGUCCCACAAGUCCUUUGAGUCCCAGGAGUCCCUCAACGGCCUAUGAAAGAUAUUCUGAGGAUCUGACGGCUUUAAACAAUUGUCCACACAAUCACAAGGACAAAAAUCGAAAUCACGAACUUGCGCAAGAGUGCUGACCUCAACGGCUUUGAAACCCAUCGAAGGUUGUACUGGUUCGAGGGAUUUUCCCUUCUUGCCAAGGGUAUGAUGCAAUUUUUGAUUUUGAAAACGAUGGUGCCCGCACAAUUUCCCUUUCUCCAGUUGUAGUCAAGUAACCACAAAAAAGUGACGUAAUGCCGCCUAGUCCCAAUACGUUGUAAAUGAACAAUUGGAAAUUCC